UCCUUACUGCCCGUUUUCCCUAUAUAACUGCCUCAAGAUUCCGUAAUCCUGGAAGAUGGGUUUUUGAGACAUUAGUCACUCAUCUUCCGAUUAACCAGCUAAUCUAAUUAAGCUUCCUUUCUCGAUCUCUAACUUGUGAUUAAUUGGCUCAGAUCGCAGCGAACAGAGUGAGCCCUUCCUCAGUAUUAGCACUAUUGCGUUCUUUUCCUCCAACCGUUUGCAUCUGAAUAGACCUGACUGGACUCUGCAGGAGACCCCUGGCUGAUUUGCAAGGAAGAACGGGGCAGGGUCAAGAGAGCUCAUGACCUGAUGAUCUGAGGACCCAACCUGAGGAAAUAAGAGGACACUCAAAGGAACAGAUGAGUAAGAGCGCUCAGAACUUACCCAACUUCAAUGGCAAUUCCACUGAGGAGUAACCACAGUGUUGUUUUUUCAUAGAAACACCAAAUUUGGAAAUAAAACCCUGCUGGGUUUAUGUGGCACCUCAAUAUUCCACUGAUUUUUUUUCCAGAGGCCAGUGAGAAGGAGGAACCUUGUUCUUCCAGGCCUGGACAGCCAGCGCGUGACCGCAUUCAGCCCCUCCCACUCUUUGUGUCCCCCUGAUGGAGCUCUGAAUGCUCUGGGCUGGAGACCAUGGGACAGCACCUUUGAGAACCAUGUCACUGCUCUGACACACCUGCUGAGAUUCAGAAGGGUGGGGAGCAGGGGAGAGGCCCACUCUGCCUGUCCCCCAGGUGAUGGGUGAAUGUGCAAUUCCUCCAACACUGGGUGGGAAUGACUAACAGAGGAGUCCAGGCAGCUGCAGGGGGAAUCAGUUUAGCAGCUUUCUGUUGUCGACUCCACGACUUCCACAGUGAUGUCACACUCGGGUACAUCAGUGCUGUCCUACUCCAGCAGCCACGCGGCAGGGAGCCAUGGCCAGCAUGGUGCUGAGGCCAGCGGGAGACGGAGGAGGGAACGGCAUCUCUCCUGGGACUUCCCCUCUCUGGCUUUGCUGAACCCUGAGUGGACUCUCCUGGACCCCGAGUGGACUCUCUUGGACCCUGAGUGGACUCUUCCUGGCUCAUGCCUCAGAGCUCAUGGAUGCAGUCCCCAUGGGGAUCACAUGCCACCUGACAGUGACAAACGCCAGCUGGAUUCUACCACCAUCACCAUUUGGAGAAGAAAUCCAGGGACUGCUCAACCUCUGUAGACCAAGGAGCUAAUUGGGAGAGAAGACUGCAUCAGUCAUUGGUGCAAGGUCAUUGGAGAAGUUUUGUUGAUGGCGCCUUCUGGCCAGUGAACUUUAGCACAUGUUACCCACCUGUCCCCACCUGUUCCUUGAAGCUUCUUAGUGAGACCUGUCAAUGCACUAAGUGACAGUUGAGCCUGUGAGAAGAAAUUCCAGCUUAGAAAUACCAGUGUUUACAAGGAAGGAGAAUGAAUAUAUGUUCAAAAGUACGUCUCUAGCAUUUUGUAGAAUUGUUGCUCUUUUGAAUUUCAUUGGAAUUAAUUCAUGCAGAUGUGUACCUGGGGUUGUGCUUUUCCUGGUUAAAGAAUUCUUUCCCCCCCAUCAAUGGCUGGAGAAGUUGCUCACUGCUUACGACCAAGGGCAAUCCUUCAUUAACCUCUCCUGCACAGAUCAAGAGAGUUAAACUUAGAAUAAAGAACACAGUUUUUGAUCUGACAGGGCUGAGACAUCACAAAGACAGGCACUGAAGCUCAUCAACCCAAGCCCAACUAAAAACAACCUGGAACCCUGCAUGCCCUGCUUGCAUGCUGUUUUUGAGAUUGAAAUGGAAAUUAUUGAGAGUUUAUGCAAUCAACCCAUCCUUGAAUUCCUGAUUAAGACAAAACUGUGAAAUAUCCAGCAGAAGAGAUCUGGGGAGAGGUAAAGAGCUCAGAAUUAGUAGUCAGCAAGGUCCACUGGGACAGCCCAAAGAGUACAGGACUGGAGAGUGCAUAAUGAAGUAGAGCAUGUGGUUUAAACUCCAGGUCGGUCUCCAUGCUGUGUGGACCUCAGAACACUACCUAACCUCGCAGAGGCUAUGCACUGAUAUGGUUCUCUAAAAAUGUGCCCAGUCUUGGUGAAAGCAUUUUUAAAAAUCCAUAUUUCACCAAAUAAUGUUUGGAUUUUUUUUAAGUCCUUGUAAUAACUAAUUCUUUGAAGACAGUUUUUUCAUAAGUUUCAUGGAGGAAGUUAUUUAAUGUUUUUAAGUUAUAGAGACAAACUGUCAAAGCAGCUGUUGUAAAAUAAAAUAAUCUCAUGAGCUGCUGUUUACGAUCAUCUAUCUACUACAAUAAUAAGACUUAUAGCUGGCCAUCAACCUUCCCUGGUCCGUGUGCCUGUUCGAGUGCCCCCUGCUUUGUUGAGAUGAGCUUGGUACCUAGAGACACAGAACCAAGACAGAACCAGAACUGGCUCCCAGCAGCACUGAGUGGGGUGGCCUAGGGGGCAUCCCCAUAGAACUGCUUCCUGGUCCAGCAACUACAGACAUCAGCUGACCAAUAUUAAGUCCCCAGUGUGUGCCAGGCCCUGUACUGACUGUUUUCUCAUGAAGAAAAACAAUGAAUCCUCAGAACUCCCAGGGAGGCCGGCACUAUUAUUAUCCUCAUUUUACAGAUGAGGAACUGGAAGCACAGAAAGACUAAGUACUUUUUCCAAAGUCAGCCCUUGGAGGGAACCAGAGAGAUGUGCCUGGUUGACCACAGCCCAUGCACCCAACCAUGUCGCUUGAUACACAAAACCCACAAGCAGAACCAAGAUGGACCCAGACAUUAGCAUGAAAAGCUGAAAGAGGAAGACCCAGCCUCAGCCCUGGCGAGGGCACUACCAUGCCCACAGCUACCCUGCUCCAUCCCCCAUCCCUGGCCUGGACUUGGCCAUGGGCCCCUUGUCAGGUCCCCUUGCUCCAUCUGUAUUGUCGACCCCAAGUGUCUCCUCAAUGCAUUGAACUCAACUUUCCCAGUUCAAGAUUUUUUGAUGGUUCUUUGGACACAGAGGGUGAUUUUAGUUAAAUGAUGUUCAUAAUUAGUUGUUCCCACGAACUCAGUCAUGAGUUUCAGCAUUUGCCAAUUGCUGAGUUAUUCACAGCUGAAAAUUGGCCUGUGCACAUGUACAACAGCAGCCUUUGAAGGACUUCUGGGUCCCACUCACUUUGUUUGAAAAGUGUAUUAACUUCUGCCCUCGCCAGCAGCUGGGAAAAAUGACGAUCCUAGUUUUGCAAGUGACUAUGAUGAAUCAUGGCUCCAGCUCUCUCAGUGGCAGAUGCCAACUACUCUUAACCAGCAAUGGGGGUAGGGCGGGGGAUCCAGCCGUGAAAUCUUCCACUGUCCAUCCCCACAUGCAUCUGUGGACAUUUCUGGUUUAUGUUUCCAGUGGGUUUUAUUAAGGAUGAAUCUCGAUGGCUCCACAGUCAGCUAAUAUGGUCACAACUCAUUUAAAGAAAAAAAAAUGGAGGCAGAGAGAAAAUCAAGGAGUCCACAAAGCUGACAAGGGGCAGAGGCAAAGGGACAGGCAGGCCCUACAUACCUGCCUGGCCAAGGCUUUGGGUUCAGACAAACCAUGAGAAGCCCACACUCCUAAAAAUGGCUCUGAGGACAGCUCCAAGCCAUAAGCCUUGUGAGAGUCAGUCAUCCUUCCGAGAUCUGAGAGGUGAUGCUGUGGGUGUUAACAUGAGCAACUAGCAAGAGAUCUGCUCGGAGAAUGUUUCUCCAAACAGUCAACUGGAGCUUUGGGUCUCUGAUUUGUAGGGAGCUGGGCAGGGUCAAGUGGUGCUGAAGAAAGAGAAGGAGAGGUUGUUUUUCAGGCAAAAGAGUUCAUGAAGUCACAAUGGCCUGGCUCAUGAUCUGGCUGGUGAUUGUCCAAAGUGUGAGAAGUCCCAGAGGAAAUAAAAAUGGAAAAAUUAAGAUAAAUAAGAGUAGAAAAAUGAACUCUAAAACUUGUGAUACAACCAACAAGUCACUGGAUGAUUUGGUUUGUGCCUGAAAUGUUUCAUGAAAUACUUCAUUAAUACGAAAUAAUGUCUCUAAUCUCUAUGUUGGUUGUAAAACAAAAUUAUAAAAGGAACAUCUGAGAACCAUCACUCAACUCAAGAACCAGACCAGCACUUUUGAAAUGACCUAGAUGUUUCCUUGAUGGGUUGGCCUGUAAUAAGCAAAACCUUAAACUUGUGUUUAUCAUUGCAGCUUGUUAAAAUGGUUUAUGUACAUAUCUUUAUGCAAUACGUUGUUUAGUUUUGCUUGUUUUUAAGCUUUAUAAAAGUGGUACCACAGUGAAUACGCAACCUUCUUCAUCUUGCUUUUUGCACUCAGAAUUUUUUCCAAGAUUGAUCUAGUUUGUUGCAUGUUGCUAAAGUUUGUUCAUAGUCCUUGGUACUUCAUAUUCCCUUGUGUGUGUAGGUAACACAUUUAUUCAUCUAGUCCUGACAAUGAACAUUUGGCCUGUUUCCAGUUUUUCGCUUUUAAGAAUAACACUGUUAAGGAUGUGGUUGUACCUGUUUUCCAGUGCACAUACACAAAUUUUCCCUAGGGUACACGCACACCCCUAGGAGUGGAAUUGCUGGGUUCGAGAGUAUGUUUGUUAUGUCCUCAACUUUACAAGAUAAUGCCAAAUUAUUCCUCAAUGUAACUGUAGCAAUUUACACUUUUAACUAUACAGUAUUUAAACCUUCCCACGCUCUUCAUAUGUUCAGAUGUAUUGAUUUUUGUUAAUACAGUUGAGUCAAAGUAUAUCUCAUAUGUUUUUAGUUUACAUUUCUCUAAUUAUAAAAGAUAUUGACCAUAUUUUAUAUGCUUAUUUACCAUUCAUAUUUCUUCUUCCAUGAAAUACCCAUCACAGCCUAUCUCUCUUUUUUGAUCACAUUAUUUGUCUUUUUCUUGUCCCCUUGAAGGAAUUUUUAAUAUAUAACGAGUAAUAAUAAUUUGCUGCUUAUAUGUGCUAAAAAUAUCUUCCAAAUUGGGGCAUGUUCAUUUUCCUUUUGCUGUAUUUUGAUAUACAGAAAUCCUUCAUCUCAAUGCAGUUGAUUAUGUCAAUCUUUUCUUUUAUAGUUAAUGCUUAGUGUACUUUGUUUAAAUAAAACUUCUCUACCUCCAAAGUCUUAAAGAUUUUCCCCAGUAUUUUCUUCUUAAGGUUUGAAUCUUUUGCCUUUCAUAAUGAAGUCUUUAAAUCCAUCUGGAAUUGAUGUUUGUGUAUGGUGUGAGGUUGGGAUCUAAUUUCAUUUUUUCUCGUAUAGAUAACGAAUGGCCCCAACAGCAUUUAUGGAAUAGUUCUGCCUUUUCUAGUAAUCUACACUGACACCUCUAUCAUAUUGCAAGUUCAAAAAAGAUGUGGAACUACUUUGGGUUCUCUGUUCUGUUCCAAGGGUCAGUACGUCUUCACUGAGCCAAUACCACAGUGUUUUAGUUACCCUAAAUUUAAAAGAAAUAUAGACACCUGUUUGGACAAGUUUUUUUUAACCUUAUUUUUCCCCUUUAUGACUAUUCUGGAGCCUUUGUCUUCCAUUUAAGUGGUAGAGAAACACUGUUGUGUUCCAUGAAAAACUGGUUGGGAAUUUAAGGCAAUUGACUUUACUGGAUAGCCUUUUAAACCAACGACAUGUUCUCUCUCCUUUUAUUUAGAUCUUUGAUGUCUUUUAGUAGCACUUAAAAUGUUUCUUCAUGCAGGUCUUGCACAUCUUUUGUUAGAUAUAUUUCUAUCUCAUUUUUGGGGCAUGUGUGUACCACUGCAAAUAGUAGCUGGUUUAUUUUUAUUAUAUUUUAUAAAUUGCUGCUGACAUAAAGAAAUGCAAUUGAUUUUUUAUAUUGAUCCUAAAUCCAGUCAGCUUGCAAAAACGCUCUUAAUUUUAAUGAAUUUUCUAUAAUUUUUUGAGGUUUUUGACUGAACUAUAUCACCUAACAGUAAUGAUAGUUCUGUUUUUUUCCUUCCUAUCCUCAGUACUUUUUUGUUUUCUUACUGUGCUCACUAGGACUUCUACUAUCAUAGAAACAGUGAUCGUGGUAUCUUCCUUGUUCCUGAAUUUAAAAUUAAUACCUCUAGCAUUCACCAUUGAGAAUGAUAUUGGCUAUCAUUUUGGUAGACACCAUACAUCAAUCAUUAAGGAAGUUCCCUCCCAUUCCUAUUUUACUACAAACGUUUUUUUUUUUACUUUUAUCAAAUGCUGUGUAUCCAUCUACUAAGAGGCAAAAGGUACUGUGUCACAUCUAUAGAUAGAUUUUU
Molecule: long non-coding RNA, 6196 nt
Organism: Equus caballus (horse)
Lineage: Eukaryota; Metazoa; Chordata; Mammalia; Perissodactyla; Equidae
Source: RefSeq, a predicted model, not a curated record